Molecule: long non-coding RNA, 1494 nt
Organism: Dinoponera quadriceps
Lineage: Eukaryota; Metazoa; Arthropoda; Insecta; Hymenoptera; Formicidae
Exons: 4
Source: RefSeq, a predicted model, not a curated record
UGGUAGGGGGCGGUGCGGUAUGCGUUGCUAGUUGGUAGGCGCGCUAUACGCGGCAGCCGGCUUCAGUUCAAUUCGAUCAGCUGAAGCACGUGUGCGUUGUGAAAGCGUGCUCGUUUCGUCGCCUCACCUCGUUCCUUCUCCUCGUGAAGGCUUUUGCGCCCAUCGCGUAGCAUCGCACUCGGAAAAGCAACGCACGGAAGGGGAGAAGGGGAGCGACGGGGAAGAAGACGAUCCACGCAGUACGUUUGCUCGCGGGGGAAGGAUGGUGAAGAAGGAGGAGGAGGAUACUCUCGUUUCCUCGCUACACGAGAAGGAGACGCGACCUUUCUAUUUUCUCUUCCGACGUUCCUUCGGAUUUAAACUGGUCGUCCGGUGCCAAGGCCUCUCUCUCUCUUCUCUGCCUGCUCUUCUCUCUUCGUCGUCCCUCGCUGCCGCCUCUCCUCCUCCUCUCCUCUCUCUCUCGUCUCUUCUCCUCGCCAUCUUUCCACCUCCUCGAAUCGUACGCCACGCUUCCGGCUGACAGUGCGCUUUUUGGGCCUGCGCCUCGCACGAUGGACGUCGCAGUCUCCCCUACUCCUUCGCCUUCAUCUCCUCCCUCUCUUGGUGACGCGACGCGAUUCUUCGUGAAGCGCGAAUUUCCCCGUCGCAAGGAGGGUGGAGUCCGCCGCGGACGUUUCAUACGAGAUCGCGAGGCGUUUACGAUACGACGACGGCAACGACGAGACGCGCGUAUCCGGGUGUGCCGGAUUCACGGACGGACGGACGGACGGACGUCGGCCAUGUCGUCGUUCUUCCUCGAGCGAGCGUGCGAGCGAACGAGCGAUCGAUCCCUCCGAGAGCGGAAUGUGCGCGCAGCUGUUCAACAGCUCCUCGUCGUCGGCAUUGGAUCAGCAUUCUUAUUUUACACAUACUGAUAUGGAGAUACCAGGGCCGUAGCGAGUCCCAAUGGCGCCCCCGGCCGAAAUAUUCUCCGUACCCCGAUCUCGACUUACGGUCUAUUGCACGAGAGAGCUGCCCGCGCGUCCGAACCGAAAUUUUAUAAUUGUGAGAACCUAUGAACAGGAACACACACAUUUGGAGGCGAGAAGGUUUCAACACUUUCGAUGCAUCUUGAAACGACACCCGGUUGCUUUUAUCGUCAACCGUAAGAUACCGCGUAUGAAUUCUAGCGCUCUCUCCGCUGUACAUAGAGAGCGCCCGGAUAUAAGAAUCGGACGAAUUUCCUCGGUGGAGAAAGCCCGGGUAACGGCAGCCCUAUUCCGCCGACCAGCCGGCCGGCUGAGUAGACAGACAAAACGGAGGAACCGUCUCUAACUUGGGUCCCACCGAGCGACGCGUCGAACGUGUCGCGUCGUCGCCACGUAUAGCGAUGCGCGCAUGCGCAAGCGAGUAGUCUGGCGCCAGCAGCUGGAAGAAAAAAGGAACUCGCAGAAGGAUAACAAAACGUAGAGGUCUUUCUCAAGCGUUUUUCAAGAAUUCUUCCAAACAUGUGUU